GACGUAGGGGGCGAGCGUUGUCCGGAUUCAUUGGGCGUAAAGCGCGCGUAGGCGGCUGCGCAAGUCGGUUGUGAAAUUCCGAGGCUCAACCCCGGAACUGCGUCCGAUACUGCGUGGCUAGAGGUAGGUAGGGGAGAUCGGAAUUCCUGGUGUAGCGGUGAAAUGCGCAGAUAUCAGGAGGAACACCGGUGGCGAAGGCGGAUCUCUGGGCCUUACCUGACGCUCAGGCGCGAAAGCUAGGGGAGCGAACAGG
RNAcentral lists this ribosomal RNA (253 nucleotides) under uncultured bacterium. Its description in RNAcentral is "partial 16S ribosomal RNA". It matches the Rfam family "Bacterial small subunit ribosomal RNA", at positions 524 to 776 of the family's 1533-position model. The record is from RNAcentral.